AUGCGGACUCGCGUAUCCAGUCGCAGCCGCGUCCCACCACCACGCGCCUGCACCGCAUCUACUCGUCGUCGCCCGGCCGAAGCGAGCUUCACCCUGGCCAGGAGGCGUCGCGUGGACCGUCUCCUGCGCCGGCAGCCGCGGAAGCAGGCAGAUCCCGGCGAGGACCGUGUCAGCGCCCUCCCCGAUGACCUCCUCCUCCUCGUCCUGCGUCGCCUCGACACCCGCGCGGCGCUCGGCGCCGGGCUGCUCUCCAAGCGCUGGGCUGGCCUCCCCCGCGAGCUCCCCGCCCUCGACCUCAGGGUCAGCGACGUACUCCCGCCGCGCUACCGGCGGUGGCUCCUCCGCUACCGUGACAUCUUCAGCAGCGGAACCUUUGCGCUGUACAGGCAUCGCCUCGGGCAUCACGAGUUCGUGCCCAGCAUGACGAGGUACGAGCGCCGCGCCAUGCGCGCCUUCACCAGCUCCGUCGAGGGUCUCCUGGGCUCCCGAGCUCGCCGGAGGGUCAGCAGCCUCAGGCUCGAGUUCUUCAUCACGGGCAACACCGGCUGCGUCAACCGGCUGAUUUCCCAGGCCAUGGAUGCUUGGGGUGUCGACGACCUCGAGGUCAUCGCCCGGCCGACAUUCCGGCAGCAGACCGUGCACGCCUUCCCUAGCCAUGGCCUCUGCUCCUCGCCCCGGUUGUCACGCCUGCAAAACCUCAAGCUUGGGGGCUGUGUCAUCCCGCAUCUGCUGCAUGAGUACCACGCGCUCACUAGGCUCGUCCUGCAAGACGUUGCCGAGUCACCUCCGGCCGCCUACGAGGGCGUCUUCGACUCGUGCCCGCAGCUGCAGGUGGUGCACCUCAAGUCCUGUCUCUGCGGCGGCAGGGACAUGGUCAUGGUUGUGGAUGCCCCCAGCUCGCAGAUCAGGGAGUUGGUUGUGGACAAGUGUGAAAUAGGAUCAAUAUGGUUGAGGGAUCUUCCCAAUCUGGAGCGUCUGGCCUCCCUGGGCACACGACUGUUCUUCGAGUCCACUGCAUUCCCAUGCCUAAGGCAAUGGAGCCUCGCCCGCUGCCACGGUGUCGACUUGGAUGGGUUUCGACAACGCUUUCGGCAGCACCUGGAGCUUGACUUGUUUCUUGGACACACCCCGGACAUUACCGACCUGAUCAUCCGGUUCACGGGGCCCGACAGAUGGAUCGUGCCAUCUAUCUCACCAUCCGUUUUGUUACCUAACCUGAGGCGGCUGUUGGUCGCCGAUGUGCCUUCGUCCUGGGACGUCUCUUGGCCCCGUCUUCUCUUUGAGAUGGCGCCUUCCCUCGAGAGUUUUCACAUCCACAUUGCCUCUUGCAUGGAGGAGCCCAGUCCCAAUGAAGAAAUAUCCUGGUGGCCGACAAAGUUUCGGCAGCAUCGCUUGAAGGAGUUUGUGAUGGCUGGUUUUGAGGCAACAGAGAGGCAGAUUUACCUUAUCAAGUUUGUCAUGGCCGUAUGCACGGCGUUGCGUCAUGUCAGCAUGUUCAAGAAUGGGCAUGCUCAGGACAAGGGGCACUGGGAAUGGGAGAUGGUGACACAGCAACACUCAUGGACUGAGGAGGACAAGGACGACACGCUCAAUCAGAUUAUGGGCACGGCAUCUUCAACAGCAGCUCCGGUUCAACUGGUUUUAGGCUGA
Molecule: ribosomal RNA, 1650 nt
Filed under: Triticum aestivum (bread wheat)
Lineage: Eukaryota; Viridiplantae; Streptophyta; Magnoliopsida; Poales; Poaceae
Description: partial small subunit ribosomal RNA
Source: RNAcentral